Molecule: long non-coding RNA, 627 nt
Filed under: Bemisia tabaci
Lineage: Eukaryota; Metazoa; Arthropoda; Insecta; Hemiptera; Aleyrodidae
Description: lncRNA ENSSWEETPG001778
Source: RNAcentral
GAUUCUUAUUGAUCCUUGCUGAAUUCUUUUUAUCAUUAUUUACCAUUAACGAAGUCUUUGUUCGUGAAAGAGCUGCUUUGACGGUUUCGUUUUUCUGUUUCCAGGUUUACCAUUGGUCAUCUGAACAAAGUUUCCGAAGCGGACUGCAAAUGGUUCCAUGCCCAAGAAUCCGGAAAUGGAUGCGGCGGUGCGAAUGUAGUGCUGAAAUGGCUAAAUUGGCCUUGGCCGUUUUCGCUGUGCCCGGACUUCGUCCAAGUCGCGAUAGAGUUACUUGACUACUGUCUCAAAGCCGCCGACCCAGGUGGCUGCGGUAAUGGCUCAGAUGCGGGUGCGAAACUGCGGAGUGAUAGUAUAACCUCUCAGUGUUGGCUGUACGGCAAGAAGAAGGAGAAAGAGGAGGACAAAUGGUUCAGCGUGAUAGUUCUGUCUCUGGACGAGGCCUGGACCAAAAUCCGCCACGAUCCAAACCUCAAAACUCAGCUUCCGAAACUCACGCUUACGUUCCUCAACUUCCUCUUCAAUUCCGACUGGAAACUCUCGGAGGCAGUAGUUACCCUGAAAAAAGUGUUGGACGAUGAGUCAUCAAAGGAAAUAGACAAAGAACAAUUUGCAGUCAUGUUCUGCCAA